Molecule: ribosomal RNA, 1885 nt
Filed under: Silene sartorii
Lineage: Eukaryota; Viridiplantae; Streptophyta; Magnoliopsida; Caryophyllales; Caryophyllaceae
Description: bacterial LSU rRNA
Rfam family: Bacterial large subunit ribosomal RNA
Source: RNAcentral
AAUAGCUCACUGGUCAAGUGAUUCCGCGCCGAUAAUGUAGCGGGGCUUAAGUUAUCCGCCGAAGCUGUGGCAACCUGUGUGGUUGGGUAGGGGAGCGUCGUGUCAGUGGUGAAGCUGCCGGGUGACUGUGUGGUGGAGUUGAUGCGAGUGAGAAUGCAGGCAUGAGUAGCGUGUGACGGGUGGGAAUCCCGUCCGCCGAUUAUCCAAGGGUUCCAGGGUCAAGUUUGUCUGCCCUGGGUGAGUCGGGUCCUAAGGCGAGGCCGACAGGCGUAGUCGAUGGAUAACGGGUUGAUAUUCCCGUACCGGUGAAAAACCGCCCAUACUGAUAUUGUGAUGCUAACCAUGCGAAGCAUGAUGUGCAGGCUUUUGUUUGUGUGUUGUGUGGGUUGUGGGACCCGAUCUUUGGAGGUAAACGUGUUAACAGGUGUGACGCAGGAAGGUAGCCAAGCCACGCGAUGGUUGUCGUGGUCUAAGCGUGUAGGGUUGUCGGUUGUUAAAUGCGCCGGCUGUGUGCCUGAGACGUGAUGGGACCCCGUUUUUGGGGGAUUUGGUGAUCCUAUGCUGCCGAGAAAAGCAUCGGCGUGAGGUUUUAGCCGCCCGUACCCUAAACCGACACAGGUGAUCAGGUAGAGAAUACUAAGGCGAUCGAGAGAAUCAUGGUUAAGGAACUCGGCAAAAUGCCCCCGUAACUUCGGGAGAAGGGGGACCUUGAGCGUGAUGGGCACUUGCUGCCUGGAGCGUGUAUGGGUCGCAGAGACCAGGGGGAAGCGACUGUUUAUCAAAAACACAGGUCCGUGCGAAGUCGUAAGACGAUGUAUACGGACUGACUCCUGCCCGGUGCUGGAAGGUUAAGAGGAUUGGUUAGCUCUUUUGGGCGAAGCUGAGAAUUUAAGCCCCAGUAAACGGCGGUGGUAACUAUAACCAUCCUAAGGUAGCGAAAUUCCUUGUCGGGUAAGUUCCGACCUGCACGAAUGGCGUAACGAUGGCCACACUGUCUCCUCCCGAGACUCAGCGAAGUUGAAGUGUUUGUGAUGAUGCAAUCUCCCCGCGGCUAGACGGAAAGACCCCAUGAACCUUUACUGUAGCUUUGCAUUGGACUUUGAACCGAUCUGUGUAGGAUAGGUGGGAGGCUUUGAAGCGUGGACGCUAGUUCACGUGGAGCCGUCCUUGAAAUACCACCCUGGUUUGUUUGAGGUUCUAACCUUGGCCCGUGAAUCCGGGUCGGGGACAGUGCAUGGUAGGCAGUUUGACUGGGGCGGUCUCCUCCCAAAGUGUAACGGAGGAGUUCGAAGGUACGCUUGGUACGGUCGGACAUCGUACCUAAAGUGCAAUGGCAAAAGCGUGCUUAACUGCGAGACCGACAAGUCGAGCAGGUGCGAAAGCAGGACAUAGUGAUCCGGUGGUUCUGAAUGGAAGGGCCAUCGCUCAACGGAUAAAAGGUACUCUGGGGAUAACAGGCUGAUACCGCCCAAGAGUUCAUAUCGACGGCGGUGUUUGGCACCUCGAUGUCGGCUCAUCUCAUCCUGGGGCUGUAGCCGGUCCCAAGGGUAUGGCUGUUCGCCAUUUAAAGAGGUACGUGAGCUGGGUUUAAAACGUCGUGAGACAGUUUGGUCCCUAUCUGCCGUGGGCGUUGGAAUCUUGACGGGGGCUGCUCCUAGUACGAGAGGACCGGAGUGGACGUACCGCUGGUGUACCUGUUGUCUCGCCAGAGGCAUCGCAGGGUAGCUAUGUACGGAAGAGAUAACCGCUGAAAGCAUCUAAGCGGGAAACUCGCCUGAAGAUGAGGAUUCCCUGGAGGCUUGACCUCCUUGAAGGGUCGUUCGAGACCAGGACGUUGAUAGGCUGGGUGUGGAAGCGCAGUAAUGCGUUAAGCUAACCAGUACUA